UGUAGUUACUCUAUCUGAUGUUCAAAAUCGUAUAAACCUGCCUGCCUGCAUUCUUUAAAUACUAGUUGAGACCUCGCCUGUCAGCGUUCAAAUGGGUUUUAUAGAUUUGAUUUUUAUUAAAACGACUGAAAGACAUUAAAAACCCCAAACGUGAUACUCAAAAUGUCCAACGAAUGAGAGCGCAUUUAACAAGAAAUUAAUGGAAAAGAUCUUAUCUUGUUAAUUUAUUUCCUAGGAUCAGACGCGUAAUUGAGAUUUAUAUCUGUAUCCGGCAUGGCGUGAAAAGUACUUCCUCGUCAACGAUACGAUAAAGUGUUUUGCAUGUAGAAUUUUUUAUUUCACUUCUCCUUUUUUCUGGGCGCUUCAACUGGGCAAGACUGCACUCACUGAGAAGCUAGCUUUCCCAGAGAGCAGAGCCUUCUGUUGGAGACGCCAUUUAACUUGACAAAUAGUUAAGAAAUAAAACCGAAAGAGUGUAGCCAGCAGAAACAUUGGACGAAAAACUUAAAGUCAUCCAUACUGAGAACGAUGAGAAAUCCUAUUUUUUUCACAAUCGCCAUAUUGCUGCUUAGUCACGUGACUUGGGCAGGAUAUUGGGCAGACUGGGGAGUCACGUGUGAACCGGAAGUCGAAAACAUUCCAGUUUGUGGAGGAGUGAAGUCCGCUCCCGUUACAAAGUGCCGCGGGACAUGCCGCUCUCUUAGUACAAUUACGAUGAAUUUUCCCUGGUACAAAACUAAAUGCCAAUGUUGUAAAGCGAGCGGAUUGAAGCCGGAAGUGAUACAUUGCAGCAACGGAAGUAAAGAUGAAGUAUUUCAUGCCGACGGCUGUUCGUGUCAAGAUUGCCUCGGAGUUUGAUACAGGAGACGACCACAACUCGGAGCAGUGAAACCAAGCAUGAAAAAAAACGGAAAACGUUUUCGAAGCGUAAAAGAGAACUAGAAGAUAUCAAUAUUUUGGCCUCGGGCACAAACUGGUCGUUAAAAAUAUAUAGGAAUUUCUAAUUUAAAUUUAGAUCUAGUGAAUGUAACGUAAAAUAAAUUUCCUGAAUGUAUAGCGAAUGAAGAGCACUGUGUCUCAGACGCAACAUUGAACAUAUCUGCCUGGUCAAACAUAUCAGUUGUUCAACAUAAAACAUAACAACCUUUUCCUCGACAUAAAACUGGUCAUUUGGUGCUGUCACGUGGCACGUGGCACGUGGCAGGCUAUCACGCUGUCACGUGAUAUAUGAAGUCUGCCUACUACUACUUGAAUAUGGUUUUUAACUGAAUUGUUUCUGGGGCGUGUUUGGCUGCAAAAUGUAAUAACUAACACAGAAUGUAACAACUUUUUCACGUAAAAUGAAAGAGUAGCCUGAAUUGUAACAACUAUGGACACAAAAUGUAACAUUUCUUUUUCAAAUGUAACUCGAAUUGUAACAACUUUUUAACUCACAAUGUAAAAAGGUUUUAACGCGAAAUGUAACAGCUCGUCUAAAUAUAUAAAGGAAAUUUAGAGAUA
Molecule: long non-coding RNA, 1500 nt
Organism: Orbicella faveolata
Lineage: Eukaryota; Metazoa; Cnidaria; Anthozoa; Scleractinia; Merulinidae
Source: RefSeq, a predicted model, not a curated record